AUUGAACGCUGGCGGCAGGCCUAACACAUGCAAGUCGAACGGUAACAGGAAGCAUCUUGCUGCUUUGCUGACGGGAGGCGGGCGGGUGGGUAAUGUCUGGGAAAGGGCGUGAGGGAUGAGGUUAGGUACUGGAAACUGUUACUGAUACCGCAUAACGUCGCAAAGCCAAGGAUGUUGACACUCCGCGCUCUCGCCUUCGCAUGGGUCCAGAUAGGAUUAGCUAGUAGGUGGGGUAACGGCUCACCUAGGCGACGAUCCCUACCUGGUCUGAGAGGAUGACCAGGCACACUGGAACUGAGACACGGUCCAGACUCCUACGGGAGGCAGCAGUGGGGAAUAUUGCACAAUGGGCGAAAGCCUGAUGCAGCCAUGCCGCGUGUAUGAAGAAGGCCUUCGGGUUGUAAAGUACUUUAAGCGGGGAGGAAGGGAGUAAAGUUAAUACCUUUGCUCAUUGACGUUACCCGCAGAAGAAGCACCGGCUAACUCCGUG
This 490-nucleotide ribosomal RNA is filed under the name uncultured bacterium. RNAcentral's name for it is "partial 16S ribosomal RNA". It matches the Rfam family "Bacterial small subunit ribosomal RNA", at positions 30 to 507 of the family's 1533-position model. The record is from RNAcentral.